This 253-nucleotide ribosomal RNA is filed under the name uncultured bacterium. Its description in RNAcentral is "partial 16S ribosomal RNA". It matches the Rfam family "Bacterial small subunit ribosomal RNA", at positions 524 to 776 of the family's 1533-position model. The record is from RNAcentral.
UACGUAGGGGGCAAGCGUUGUCCGGAAUCAUUGGGCGUAAAGCGCGUGUAGGCGGUUCGGUAAGUCUGCUGUGAAAGUCCAGGGCUCAACCCUGGGAUGCCGGUGGAUACUGUCGGACUAGAGUACGGAAGAGGCGAGUGGAAUUCCCGGUGUAGCGGUGAAAUGCGUAGAUAUCGAGAGGAACACCAGUGGCGAAGGCGAGUCUCUGGACGACUCCUGACACUGAGGCACGAAAGCUAGGGGAGCAAACAGG